Molecule: long non-coding RNA, 225 nt
Filed under: Solanum tuberosum (potato)
Lineage: Eukaryota; Viridiplantae; Streptophyta; Magnoliopsida; Solanales; Solanaceae
Description: long non-coding RNA (STUB_LNC011812)
Source: RNAcentral
GACUACAUAAAAUAUGUUUUCAAAAAAAUACAAAAAAUUCCACUGAUUCUUGAAGUGAAUCUAUUGUAAAAAUACUAUAAAUCAUGAUAAUUGACAACAUAAAAUAUUUCAAAAAUGUUAUAUGUGGGUAGUCUUAUUAUGCCUUAAAUAGCAUCAAAGAAAGUACAGGUUUGUGAUAAAAAAACUUAUUCAUUUAUCCACGCAAACAAUCACUUUAAAAAUUCC